ACUGUGCACCUAAAUUCAGUAACUGCACAGGAUGAACUUGUAUAGAUUUUUGUGUGUCCGUUUGUCUAUCCAGGCCAUUUAACUUGAAGGAAUUAAGUUAAAAAGGAACACUGUUUUAUUGGGUUAUAAAGUGUGUCAAGCAUUUGACAAAUCAAUCUACUUGUGCCUUGGCCGCUUGUGUUUGUUUUUUUGUAUACUACGUGCAAAGUACAGGAAAUUACUCCUCUGAGACUUAAGAGACCGCUCUGCUCAUGAUCUCUAUCAGGAAGCACAGGAUGUAGGCUGUGGUGACUAAAAUCUAAAGUGUACAGCAAAUACCAGCAAUGGUGAGGUUAAGACCAUUCAAAGAGAAAAUAUGCUGCAAAGGUUUUCUGCUAUGAGAAGGGUCAUACCCUCCUAACAGGCCCAGUCUAGUACAUUCCAGAUGUUUGGGACUUCAAGUUGCCAGCAUUCCUGACUCAGUGCUGACAAGGUCGUCCAAAACAACUGGUUAAGGGAGGUUGUUAUAUGCUAAGGGUUGCAAUUGAUAGGGAAGAAACUACAGCCUUCUAGAUGUUGCAGGGUGCAACCCAGAAACUUUGUCCUGUAUGGUCAGUGGUGAGUUAUGGGAGUUGCAGGUCAAGAACAUCUGUAUUCUGAGAAAAUAAAAUUGGAUGGAUAGCUAGUCUGUUAGUAUCUUUACAAAAGCAUAAUGCAGUGGUUCUUAACCUGAUGAUCCCCAGAUGUUUUUGCCUUCAGUUCCCAGAAAUCCUAACAGCUGGUAAACUGGCUGGGAUUUCUGGGAGUUGUAGGCCAAAACACGUGGAGACUCACAGGUUGAGAACCACUGAUCUGGAGAGUCACCUAAUUCCCAGCCCACCUGUAAAGAUAUAGUUCUUUGUAUGAAAUGAAGGAAUGUUUUUUACCAGUUCUUGACAAAACUUUUGUGUCUAAGGUGUUAUUAAUGUUCUGGCCAAUUUGAAAAUCAUGCAGAUUAUUAGAUUUAGAAUUUGGUCCUUGUAUACCUGUUAUUGUCAAUUCUGAUUUAUGGCAACCCUAAAGUGAAUCCAUCAUGAGAUUUUGGGGGACUGGGAGUGUGUGACUUGCAUAAGGUCGUGCAGUGGAUUUCCACAGUUGACCAUAAAAUCAUACUCUUGCAUUAAUAGUUGUAGUCUUAACAUUUAAACUAUUACACCAUGCUGGCUCUUCAUAUGCUGUGUGCUGUAUACGUGUAUAAAGUAAUAUUUAUUUAAAUUGUCUUUGUGGUGUGAGAAAGAUUGCCAUGAUCCAGAACUAUCCAGUGUAAAAUAAACUUUAUUUUAAAUUUUAUUUGAUACGUUCUAACAAUUAUCAAACUUUGCCAUACAAGACUUAUUUUAGUAUACAUUAUUCCAAAAGUAAAUAUUCCUUAUGCAUUCCUUAGAUAUGUAUCACCCAUCACCCACACACACCCCAUUCCCCCCACCCUCCUGGAACAGCAAUUUUAAAUUCAGUGUAAAAGAAACUUGAGCCAGUGAGGUCCAUCACGUCUACAUUCAAUCUCAGCCCAUAACUGAGUGCCACCAUGGACUUUUCUCCUCCCAAUAAAUUUAAAGAACAAAGAGUUUCUAUAUGGAGAAAAAGUGCAGGAGUGUGCUUUAUGAAACUGAAAGAAGAGUUUCUGAUUUGUUGUUGAGUGUUUUAAUUCUAUUUAUCUGAUAUUAUUACGGCUGUUCUGUAACCGAUUUUUCAACAAAUGAGGCACAAAUAUUUCCUUAUUCUUUCCCAUUAAUAUGUGUAUUUUAAAGAAUGUUUUGGGGUGAAUGUGUUUUAGCAAUGUAACCCUCCUUGAGCUGUGAGAAGAGGGGCAAGAAAUAAAAAUUAUUAUUAUCAUUAU
Anolis sagrei ordinatus is the source of this 1855-nucleotide non-coding RNA. The record is from RefSeq and is a predicted model, not a curated record. NCBI's taxonomy places the organism in Eukaryota, Metazoa, Chordata, Lepidosauria, Squamata, Anolidae.